Molecule: ribosomal RNA, 735 nt
Filed under: uncultured Lachnospiraceae bacterium
Lineage: Bacteria; Bacillati; Bacillota; Clostridia; Lachnospirales; Lachnospiraceae
Description: bacterial SSU rRNA
Rfam family: Bacterial small subunit ribosomal RNA
Source: RNAcentral
GCUGGCGGCGUGCUUAACACAUGCAAGUCGAGCGAAGCACUUAGGAAAGAUUCUUCGGAGGAUUUCCUAUUUGACUGAGCGGCGGACGGGUGAGUAACGCGUGGGUAACCUGCCUCAUACAGGGGGAUAACAGUUAGAAAUGACUGCUAAUACCGCAUAAGACCACAGCACCGCAUGGUGCAGGGGUAAAAACUCCGGUGGUAUGAGAUGGAUCCGCGUCUGAUUAGUUAGUUGGUGGGGUAACGGCCUACCAAGGCGACGAUCAGUAGCCGACCUGAGAGGGUGACCGGCCACAUUGGGACUGAGACACGGCCCAGACUCCUACGGGAGGCAGCAGUGGGGAAUAUUGCACAAUGGGGGAAACCCUGAUGCAGCGACGCCGCGUGAGCGAAGAAGUAUUUCGGUAUGUAAAGCUCUAUCAGCAGGGAAGAAAAUGACGGUACCUGACUAAGAAGCCCCGGCUAACUACGUGCCAGCAGCCGCGGUAAUACGUAGGGGGCAAGCGUUAUCCGGGUUUACUGGGUGUAAAGGGAGCGUAGACGGAGCAGCAAGUCUGAUGUGAAAACCCGGGGCUCAACCCCGGGACUGCAUUGGAAACUGUUGAUCUGGAGUGCCGGAGAGGUAAGCGGAAUUCCUAGUGUAGCGGUGAAAUGCGUAGAUAUUAGGAGGAACACCAGUGGCGAAGGCGGCUUACUGGACGGUAACUGACGUUGAGGCUCGAAAGCGUGGGGAGCA